RNAcentral lists this ribosomal RNA (500 nucleotides) under uncultured bacterium. RNAcentral's name for it is "partial 16S ribosomal RNA". It matches the Rfam family "Bacterial small subunit ribosomal RNA", at positions 30 to 523 of the family's 1533-position model. The record is from RNAcentral.
AUUGAACGCUGGCGGAAUGCUUUACACAUGCAAGUCGAACGGCAGCACGGACUUCGGUCUGGUGGCGAGUGGCGAACGGGUGAGUAAUGUAUCGGAACGUGCCCAGUCGUGGGGGAUAACGUAGUGAAAAUUACGCUAAUACCGCAUACGAUCUAUGGAUGAAAGCGGGGGAUCGCAAGCCCUCGCGCGAUUGGAGCGGCCGAUAUCAGAUGAGGUAGUUGGUGGGGUAAAGGCCACCCAAGCCAACGAUCUGUAGCUGGUCUGAGAGGACGACCAGCCACACUGGAACUGAGACACGGUCCAGACUCCUACGGGAGGCAGCAGUGGGGAAUUUUGGACAAUGGGCGAAAGCCUGAUCCAGCCAUUCCGCGUGCAGGAUGAAGGCCCUCGGGUUGUAAACUGCUUUUGUACAGAACGAAAAGGUUUCUACUAAUACUAGGAGCUCAUGACGGUACUGUAAGAAUAAGCACCGGCUAACUACGUGCCAGCCGCCGCUGUAA